ACCUUCCCUGGGGCCGGCGCUGGGGGUACAGGAGGAAGAGGGAUGGCUCCCGUCCUCUGAGGAGGCCCCUCCCGGGAGGGAACCAGCUUUGUGAUUAACCGCGACUCAAGUUAAGGGCCUUGAGAGGCAUGGACGCCCUGCCCUGCGAGGCCUCCCUCCUUCACACGCCUGCUCCUUCAUUCUUCCGUUGAACAAAUGCUUUGUGAGCAGCUGCUGAGUUCCAGGCCUGUGCUUGGCUCUGGGGACGAGAAGAUGGAGAAGAAAUAGCCAAGCCUUCAGCGCACUCACAGCCCAUUGAGGGAGACGUGCUCUAUGGAGAGAGAGAGAGGAGCCGGGUGCAGAGACUGUGCUGCUGGCACUACGUGAGGUGACCAGACAGCUGGCAGGAAGCUUCUGGAGAUGAGUGAAAUCUUUAGGAGCAGGCAUGGGUGGUGAGCAGGGCAACAGGAAAAGCCCAGUGGGCUGAACCUCCCUUCCAAGCGCCCAUCACACGCUGCCCGGAAUUCCACCAUCAAAGCCAUUCCUGUGGAUUCGGCUCCUCCGACAUUGAGGGUGUCCUGAAGCCCCCUUCAAUCAGACUCUCCUGCCGAGGCGGGGUGGCCUCGGUGUACGAGAGCUCUCCGAACCCCUCCAGGACGGUGGCACCUCUCCGGAGAGAUCAGGCGCUCAGAAGAGCAGUGGCCAGGCCUCGCCGGGCCUCACCCGGGAAGAAGCGGGUCAGGGUGACGAGGAAAGCCCCCAGCAAGGUGGCACCCCACAGCACCCACACACGCGGCCACAGCAGCGAGCCCACCGCCUGCGCUGCACCCCGGAGCGCAGCUCCGAGAGCGAUCGCCCCUCCCCAGGGCUCACACCUCGGCCCCUACCCCGUUGGAGCGACAGCCUCCUGGCCCAGCUUCGGUCAUCCCCAGGGCCUCCCACUCCGUCGUGCACCCUUUGGUUAGGGUCGUGGGUUGUAAUGUGUCCUCCCCACCAAAAUAUGUUGAAGUCCUAACCCCGGUACCUGUGAAUGUGACAUCAUUUGGAAAUAGGGUCUUUGCAGAUGUAAUUAGUUAAGAUGAGGCCAUACUGGAUUCAGGCGGGUCCUAAACCCAACGACUGGUGUCCUUAUAAGAAGGCCACGUAAAGACACAGGGACACAGAGACCCACAGGGAGAAGACAGCCGUGUGAAGACGCAGGCAGAGAUGGGGUGGGUGUGUCUGUCUAUCAGCCAAGGGGCGCCAAAGAUCACUGGAAGCCACCAGAAGCUGAGAAGAUGGAAGAAAGUGCUCCUUCCUAGAGCAUUCAGGGGAAGCAUGGCCCCCUGGACACCUUGAUUUUGGACUUCCAGUCUCCAGAACUGUGAAAGAAUAAACGUCUGUGGUUUGAAGCC
RNAcentral lists this long non-coding RNA (1373 nucleotides) under Balaenoptera musculus (blue whale). RNAcentral describes it as "lncRNA (ENSBMSG00010020815.1)". Lineage: Eukaryota; Metazoa; Chordata; Mammalia; Artiodactyla; Balaenopteridae. The record is from RNAcentral.